UACGGAGGAUGCGAGCGUUAUCCGGAUUUAUUGGGUUUAAAGGGAGCGCAGACGGGAGAUUAAGUCAGCUGUGAAAGUUUGCGGCUCAACCGUAAAAUUGCAGUUGAUACUGGGUCCCUUGAGUGCGGCAGAGGCAGGCGGAAUUCGUGGUGUAGCGGUGAAAUGCUUAGAUAUCACGAAGAACUCCGAUUGCGAAGGCAGCCUGCUGGACUGUAACUGACGCUGAUGCUCGAAAGUGUGGGUAUCAAACAGG
RNAcentral lists this ribosomal RNA (253 nucleotides) under uncultured bacterium. RNAcentral's name for it is "partial 16S ribosomal RNA". It matches the Rfam family "Bacterial small subunit ribosomal RNA", at positions 524 to 776 of the family's 1533-position model. The record is from RNAcentral.